CCUACGGGGUGCAGCAGUGGGGAAUAUUGGACAAUGGGCGAAAGCCUGAUCCAGCCAUGCCGCGUGUGUGAAGAAGGCCUUCGGGUUGUAAAGCACUUUCAGUGGGGAAGAAAGCCUUGGGGCUAAUACCCUCGAGGAAGGACAUCACCCACAGAAGAAGCACCGGCUAACUCCGUGCCAGCAGCCGCGGUAAUACGGAGGGUGCGAGCGUUAAUCGGAAUUACUGGGCGUAAAGCGCGCGUAGGCGGUCUGAUAAGCCGGUUGUGAAAGCCCCGGGCUCAACCUGGGAACGGCAUCCGGACCUGUCAGGCUAGAGUGCAGGAGAGGAAGGUAGAAUUCCCGGUGUAGCGGUGAAAUUCGUAGAGAUCGGGAGGAAUACCAGUGGCGAAGGCGGCCUUCUGGACUGACACUGACGCUGAGGUGCGAAAGCGUGGGUAGCAAACAGGAUUAGAUACCCUUGUAGUC
This 465-nucleotide ribosomal RNA is filed under the name Vreelandella stevensii. Its description in RNAcentral is "partial 16S ribosomal RNA". It matches the Rfam family "Bacterial small subunit ribosomal RNA", at positions 338 to 795 of the family's 1533-position model. The record is from RNAcentral. Lineage: Bacteria; Pseudomonadati; Pseudomonadota; Gammaproteobacteria; Oceanospirillales; Halomonadaceae.